CUUAUAAGUGAUCACUCUGAGUGGAAAACAGGAAAGAUCUUCACUUGUACAGUAUCUGACAGGUCUCUGAAUAAAAAUAUCACAAGAAAUAUCAAUCUCUGUUCAGGGACCAUCACCUCUGCAGCAGCCUGAGAACAAAGGACCCGUGACUGUUAUCUGUCUUCUGGUUGCCCCUAGUCUUAAUGAUUUCUCCAUCACCUGGAAAUUAGCUGGCAACAAAAUUCCUGACUGUUAUGUCCUUACUAAUCCUGCAGUGAGUCACAACAAUGGGACAGAGACUCAACAGAGCUUCUUUAAUGUGUCAGCAGAAAAUUGGGAUGCACAUAAACAAUAGUUUUGUGAAGGAAAACGUCCAUGUUCCAAUCAGGGCAAUGAAGACCAUAUAAGCAAAAACAGAGUGUUUUUCAAGACCUUAAUGUGCCAACAGUGAAGAUAAUGCAACCAAGUGCCUCUGAACUUUCAGUGUCUGACAUCCUAACGCUUGUUUGCCUAGUGUCUGGAUAUUCCCUUGCUAACAUCAAAGUGUACUGGGAAGAAGAUGGCCAGACUCUCCCAUCCAUGCAUUAUGUUAACAGUCCUCCAUGGAAAUACUGAGGGAGCAGCUCUUACUCUGUCAGCAGCAGACUAAACAUAUCCAAAACUGAAGACAAAAGGUCGACGUAUUCUUGUGUUGUCAAACAUGAGUCAUCUGAAGCACCUGUUGAAGCCACUAUAACUGAUGUGUUUGCCUCAGUGAUCUACAGCCAACCAUCAGCCUACUUGCUUAAGGGCUCUAAUUAACUUGUGUGCCUGGUUUUUGGCUUCAGUCCUGUAUCCAUUAACAUCACUGGGUUUCCAAAUGGAGACACAGAACUUCUGAACUACAACACUAGUGACCCCAAAGAUGCCCAGAUGGAAAUUUCAGUGUCCAGAGCCACCUUGACCUGUCCCAAGUAAAAGAAGUGUGAUUUAUUUGAUGAUAUUGAGCAUGCUGAUGUGAGCUGAGGAAAGCUAGAAUGCAGUUUUCACCCUCAUUGGUUUAUUCAUCAUCACCACCUUAUAUGGUAUCAUAGUUACAUUGAUUAAGGUAAGCACCUGUAAUUUAAUUGUGUAAAAGUAAGAUUCCAGUCCAAUUUUUAAAUUAUACUGUACUGUACUAUAAUAAUAAUAAUAAACACCAUGUUUAUCCUUCAGAAAAUUGCUUCAUGCACCAAGAUAUUGUAAUUCUCAGAUUUUCCACAAGAGUGAGACAAAGCUCCAUGUGCAGAAGCAGCAAUGUAGUUUCCACCUCUAUGUAAAAAAAACUACUCAUGUUUUAAUUUCAAGAUGCCGAUAAAUGUGUUGGUAUGCCAGUGGUGUUAUGAAGAGGUGCAUUCAUUUAAAAGCACAAAGACUGUUGUUGUAACCCUUCUUCUUUGCAAACAUAUGUAGUGUCUUUGUAGAUCUGUACACUUCCUGUCUUUGAAUGAAUUGUAUUUGUGUACUUUGUGGGUUUAGAGGAAUUCACAACUGGCAGGGAGAGCACUAAACACACUAAAGCUUACUAUUAGCAACCUCUUAAGUGAUCUGUUGCGCAUUCAGACUAUCCCAUAUUUUCACAUUAAGAAAAACACAUUUAUUAACAUUGGAAUACCAGUAUUUAAUACACUACCAGGACACACCUUCUCAUUUAAUGCUUUUUCUUUAUUUUCAUGACUAUUCACAUUGUAGAUUCUCACUGAAGGCAUCAAAACUAUGAAUGAACACAUAUGAAUGACCUGACAUCAUGGCUCGUCCUUGCCAUAGCAUUUGUGUUGAACCUCAUCGAUUGCUUUUUUGCUUUCCCCUGAGUUCCUGUGCUGCUCACUAUUUCACCAUGUACCAGGACACACUGAUUGAUGGGGAGUUAAUAAUACUUAACACUUUAUCUGUCUCACUCGUUCCUCUCUGUUAUCAUCUCAUCAAAUGUUACAGGUCAGAGUAAGGAGUCCACUCCUUCCAGUCAUGUAGAAAAAAGACCUGGGGAGACUCAGUUUCUUCUGUAGAGGAUCUGGCUUCAGUUUUGAUUGCUGUGUUAUCUGGUCUUAUCUGAUCUGGGUCAGAGAACCUGCAGGAAAACCCCUGGAAUUGAUUAUCCCUUAUAAUCUGUCAGCAUCCAUCUAUAUGCAAAGCAAACUUCCUGACAGUCGACUAUAAAGACUUGAAAUCAUGCCGCCAGUUAAAACAGAAGAAGAGAAGUUCUCAUCAGAUUAUCUUGAGUACCAAAAUGUUCUCUGUGGCUCUGCUGCUCCUGCUGGCUGCUGGAUCCUGUGUGAAGUGUGAACAGCUGACACAGCCAGCCUCUGUGAUUGUGCAGCCAGGUCAGCAUCUGACCAUCACCUGUCAGGUCUCUUAUUCUCUGAGCUACUAUCGGACAGCUUGGAUCAGACAGCCUGCAGGGAAAGGACUGGAGUUUAUUGGAAGUGCACAUGAUGGAUACAGCAUAUUUUACAAAGAUUCACUAAAGAACAAGUUCACCAUCAACUUAGACACUUCAAGCAAGACAGUGACUCUAAAUGGACAGAAUAUGCAGCCUGAGGACACUGCUGUGUAUUACUGUGCCAGAAUCUCACAGUAAUACAAAACAUCAGUGGAGCUCAACAAAAACCUCUCACAGCUUCAACAUGUGUAACAUCCUUCAUCACUACAGGAGCCCCUAGACUACAGAACACUGUUAUCUGCUGCAUGUCGCUGUUUAGCGCUGGAGAUUGCCAUGAUAAUAUAUAUUCUUUUAAAGUUAUAGUUAUGAAUAAAGUUUUACAUUUUAUAUUUACAAUUCAACCUUA
Pelmatolapia mariae (spotted tilapia) is the source of this 2783-nucleotide non-coding RNA. The record is from the annotation of a RefSeq genome assembly. NCBI's taxonomy places the organism in Eukaryota, Metazoa, Chordata, Actinopteri, Cichliformes, Cichlidae.